RNAcentral lists this ribosomal RNA (487 nucleotides) under uncultured bacterium. RNAcentral's name for it is "bacterial SSU rRNA". It matches the Rfam family "Bacterial small subunit ribosomal RNA", at positions 18 to 518 of the family's 1533-position model. The record is from RNAcentral.
UAUGGCUCAGAACGAACGCUGGUGGCGUGUCUAUACAUGCAGGUCGAGCGAGGCAGCAAUGCCGAGCGGCGAACGGGUGAGUAACGCGUAAGCAAUCUGCCCCAUAUCAGGAAAUACCCGUGCCAACGCGCGGUUAAUGUCCAGGAGAGUGGCCCUCUGCAUGGAGGGUUGACUAGAGAUUUAUCGGUAUGGGAUGAGCUUGCGUCCGAUUAGCUAGUUGGCGGGGCAACGGCCCACCAAGGCGACGAUCGGUAGCCGGCCUGAGAGGGUGAUCGGCCACAUUGGGACUGAGAUACGGCCCAGACUCCUACGGGAGGCAGCAGUAGGGAAUAUUGCACAAUGGGGGAAACCCUGAUGCAGCAACGCCACGUGUGGGAAGAAGCAUUUCGGUGUGUAAACCACUGUCAUGAGGGAAUAAGGCCCGCCUUCGGACGGGAUUGAAUGUACCUUGAGAGGAAGCACCGGCAAACUUCGUGCCAGCCGCAGC